Molecule: long non-coding RNA, 98 nt
Organism: Sinocyclocheilus anshuiensis
Lineage: Eukaryota; Metazoa; Chordata; Actinopteri; Cypriniformes; Cyprinidae
Exons: 3
Source: RefSeq, a predicted model, not a curated record
CCCAAAUGUGCACGCAAAGAAAGAAGGCGUGGUUUCAGGAACAGCAGUAGUGUUGAUGCAGCCCUGUCAGUGAGACGCUGUGUUUCAGUGCAAUGCAC